GACGAACGCUGGCGGCGUGCCUAAUACAUGCAAGUUGAGCGCUGAAGGUUGGUACUUGUACCAACUGGAUGAGCAGCGAACGGGUGAGUAACGCGUGGGGAAUCUGCCUUUGAGCGGGGGACAACAUUUGGAAACGAAUGCUAAUACCGCAUAAAAACUUUAAACACAAGUUUUAAGUUUGAAAGAUGCAAUUGCAUCACUCAAAGAUGAUCCCGCGUUGUAUUAGCUAGUUGGUGAGGUAAAGGCUCACCAAGGCGAUGAUACGUAGCCGACCUGAGAGGGUGAUCGGCCACAUUGGGACUGAGACACGGCCCAAACUCCUACGGGAGGCAGCAGUAGGGAAUCUUCGGCAAUGGACGAAAGUCUGACCGAGCAACGCCGCGUGAGUGAAGGAGGUUUUCGGAUCGUAAAACUCUGUUGGUAGAGAAGAACGUUGGUGAGAGUGGAAAGCUCAUCAAGUGACGGUAACUACCCAGAAAGGGACGGCUAACUACGUG
This 497-nucleotide ribosomal RNA is filed under the name uncultured bacterium. Its description in RNAcentral is "partial 16S ribosomal RNA". It matches the Rfam family "Bacterial small subunit ribosomal RNA", at positions 28 to 507 of the family's 1533-position model. The record is from RNAcentral.